Molecule: transfer RNA, 73 nt
Filed under: Streptomyces sp. ADI92-24
Lineage: Bacteria; Bacillati; Actinomycetota; Actinomycetes; Kitasatosporales; Streptomycetaceae
Description: tRNA-Lys
Source: RNAcentral
CGGCGCUCUCGGGGGCGGAUCCCGAGCCGCUCUUACCGGUACCACUGGAGCCGUUCUUUGCGGCGGGCGCCUC